RNAcentral lists this ribosomal RNA (253 nucleotides) under uncultured bacterium. RNAcentral describes it as "partial 16S ribosomal RNA". It matches the Rfam family "Bacterial small subunit ribosomal RNA", at positions 524 to 776 of the family's 1533-position model. The record is from RNAcentral.
UACGAAGGGGGCUAGCGUUGUUCGGAAUUACUGGGCGUAAAGCGUGCGCAGGCGGCUUCUCAAGUCAGGGGUGAAAGCCCAGAGCUCAACUCUGGAAUUGCCUUUGAGACUGAGUGGCUUGAGUACGAGAGAGGUGAGUGGAAUUCCUGGUGUAGCGGUGGAAUGCGCAGAUAUCAGGAAGAACACCCGUGGCGAAGGCGGCUCUCUGGAACGCAACUGACGCUGAGACGCGAAAGCGUGGGGAGCAAACAGG